This is a small nucleolar RNA of Suncus etruscus (white-toothed pygmy shrew), 132 nucleotides long. RefSeq annotates it as small nucleolar RNA SNORA51. Lineage: Eukaryota; Metazoa; Chordata; Mammalia; Eulipotyphla; Soricidae. The transcript has a single exon. The record is from RefSeq and is a predicted model, not a curated record.
AGCCUCCCAGUGCUUGCUAAAGAUUGUACUUAUAUACAAACUGUAUAGAAAGAGAUGGCACAUUAAAUGUACCCCAUAUACAUGUCAGCCUGGGCCCUUUGCCUUAUCUGUAUUAUGAAUGAGAGCACAUGG